AUGUCGCCAUUUCUCGGAAAGAGAAAAAAAAAAGUUCUUGCUAUGACAAUUGUAUUUAUCCAAAUUAUUUUUCUUGGAUUUCAGGAGUGCAAUCAACUUCAGCAUGUUGAAGCAUUUCUGAAGCUCACAUCUGAAAUAUCUGAUAAUUGCAAGAAACAUAUACAUAGAAUGGGUUUCAGAAUCUUCAUUCUCAUACUCCUGUCAUUGUUUGUUGCCCCUAAUUCAAGUGGAGUUUCUAGCAAGUUUGUGUAUAGUGCAAUAGUUGACAUUGACAGAAUUUCUCAGUAUGAUUGGUGUCUACUAUGUCUGAGCUACAUGGUUUGUUCAAUAAAGAAAACAAGGCUGAAGAACACAAUAUCCUACUUUGAAUUCCUGAUAAUAACUGAAAUCAAGAUGCCGACUAGAAACAAGACUACCAUUAUGGAUAAAAUCAUUCUUCAAUUGAAAGCUCAAGAUUUCUAUAGAAAUAUCAUUCGGAACACAACUCCUACCAUGAAAACCUAUGCAGAUGACAUCCAUUCUUCAUUUCUGAAAACCAUGACAACUUCCAGCAGCCAAAAUGUGCAAAUUAAACCAACACUUUCAGAGAACACAUUCAAAGUUCCUAUGUCUAAAGAAUUGUUGGCUAUACAAUCACCUCGCAUAUUCCCAAUGCUAGAUGUUCCAACAAUAAUUGAUAAAGAUAAACGAGUCAACAUACAUGAAAUUCUUGAUUCAUUGGUCAAUGAUUUCCCGCAGUCUGUCAACAUAACAAAUCUUGUUGAGCCUAAACUAAAUAAAGGUAGGUUGCUUCCUGAAAUCACAUAUCCAGUUGACAAGUCUCUCAACAGUACACCGCAUGGCAAUUCAAAUGGAGAAGCUGGUUCAAGCACUCAAUACGCACAAUCAGAUUAUCCUUCCUUUGAUGUAAUUACCAAUUCAAUUGACAUAGUACAGAAAGUUCCUUCUAAUUCUCAAAGAAUUGCAUCAGAACAAUCUAAAACUUUUGCAUCUCCUUCGUCUACUCAGUUCAGCCUCCCACCAAGUCAAUAUAACAACCAACAUCAUAAUUAUGCCAACACCAUUGUUCUUCCAAGUGAGAGCCCAAUAAGGAUGAUGGACUUCCUGUCACCAAAAGUAUACCCAAGCACUAUUGGCACACCCCUUGAAGAUCCUUUGUUAGUUCAAGCACUUGAACAACAUGAAACACAUUCCAUAGUAAUCCAAGAUCAGAAGAAUGGAAAUAAGGAGGUCAUUUUUUCAACUGGAAUAGAUAAUGCCUUCUACCAAUCAUUGGUUGGACAUCUUUCCAAGUUAACCUACAGGAAUAAAGACCAGCUCAACCGAGGAAUAAAAGGCCUGCUUCCAAACAGCAAUUUAGUAGAACAUAUAGUUAGCAUUGAUGACAUGGUAAAAGUGCAUGUGUUCAAGGAAAAACAAUGGUACGACUCAGGAAUUUCCCUCCUUAGUAUCUUAGCAAGUACAAAGGUCUCGGAAUGGAAGGUUUCUCCAAUGGACAUGCUAAUCUUCGUCGUCGAAGAUAUCGACGGCAGCGGUGCCGGGCGUCAGCGAGACGGGCGGGUAGGAGGGCUCCGGCUCAUCCUCCUCCUACCCGACCUCAUCCAUGUAGGCAAGCAUCUCCGCCUCCUCCGCGGCCUCCAUCUCCUAGCGGCGACAGCGUCUGGCCUCUGCAGGCGACUCCGAGUGGAGGGAAUCGAGGAUGGUCUGCUGCUCCGCCUGCAGAUGCGCGUCGCAAGCGUCCCCCACAUCCUCAUCCCCCGGCUCAUCCUCUUCCUCCUCCUCCUUCUCCUCCUCCACCUCCUCCUCCUCCUCCGGAUCCACUGCAUCCAGAGAUAG
This 1836-nucleotide ribosomal RNA is filed under the name Triticum aestivum (bread wheat). RNAcentral's name for it is "partial small subunit ribosomal RNA". Lineage: Eukaryota; Viridiplantae; Streptophyta; Magnoliopsida; Poales; Poaceae. The record is from RNAcentral.